RNAcentral lists this ribosomal RNA (253 nucleotides) under uncultured bacterium. RNAcentral describes it as "partial 16S ribosomal RNA". It matches the Rfam family "Bacterial small subunit ribosomal RNA", at positions 524 to 776 of the family's 1533-position model. The record is from RNAcentral.
UACGUAGGCAGCGAGCGUUGUUCGGAGUUACUGGGCGUAAAGCGUGCGUAGGCGGUGUCUUAAGUUUGUUGUGAAAUCUCCCGGCUUAACCGGGAGGGUGCGGCGAAUACUGAGAUGCUGGAGUGCCGGAGAGGUAAGCGGAAUUCCUGGUGUAGCGGUGAAAUGCGUAGAUAUCGAGAGGAACACCUGCGGCGAAGGCGGGUUGCUGGGCCGACACUGACGCUGAUGCGCGAAAGCCAGGGGAGCGAACGGG